This 318-nucleotide small nuclear RNA is filed under the name Erinaceus europaeus (western European hedgehog). RNAcentral's name for it is "7SK RNA". It matches the Rfam family "7SK RNA". Rfam says of the family: 7SK was discovered as an abundant small nuclear RNA in the mid-70s but a possible function has only recently been suggested. The record is from Rfam by way of RNAcentral. Lineage: Eukaryota; Metazoa; Chordata; Mammalia; Eulipotyphla; Erinaceidae.
GGAUGUGAGGGUGAUCUGGCUGCAACAUCUGUCACCCCAUUUAUCGCCAGCGUUGAUUCGGCUGAUCUGGCUGGAUAGGUGAGUGUCCCCUUCCUCCCUCACCACUCCAUGUGAGACCCUCCCUAAGGUGCACUCUCGAUCAAAGAGGACGGCCUUCCUCAAAUAGAGAUGGACUGGUGUUCAGUCCAGGGUACAAAAGUAGCUGAACUCCCCUGCUAGAACCUCCAAAUAAAUCCCUCUUUCCAUUGUUACCAGUCAUUUCUAUCAGGAACAACACAAUAGACCCCUUCGUGGGCCCCCAUAGGACCUUGCCCUUAA